Molecule: ribosomal RNA, 429 nt
Filed under: Chloroflexota bacterium
Lineage: Bacteria; Bacillati; Chloroflexota
Description: Chloroflexi bacterium partial 16S ribosomal RNA
Rfam family: Bacterial small subunit ribosomal RNA
Source: RNAcentral
UGGGGAAUAUUGCACAAUGGGCGCAAGCCUGAUGCAGCCAUGCCGCGUGUGUGAAGAAGGCCUUCGGGUUGUAAAGCACUUUCAGCGGGGAGGAAGGCGUUAAGGUUAAUAACCUUGGCGAUUGACGUUACCCGCAGAAGAAGCACCGGCUAACUCCGUGCCAGCAGCCGCGGUAAUACGGAGGGUGCAAGCGUUAAUCGGAAUUACUGGGCGUAAAGCGCACGCAGGCGGUCUGUCAAGUCGGAUGUGAAAUCCCCGGGCUCAACCUGGGAACUGCAUUCGAAACUGGCAGGCUAGAGUCUUGUAGAGGGGGGUAGAAUUCCAGGUGUAGCGGUGAAAUGCGUAGAGAUCUGGAGGAAUACCGGUGGCGAAGGCGGCCCAAUGGACAAAGACUGACGCUCAGGUGCGAAAGCGUGGGGAGCAAACAGG